UACGUAGGGUGCGAGCGUUGUCCGGAAUUAUUGGGCGUAAAGAGCUCGUAGGCGGUUUGUCGCGUCGACUGUGAAAACCUGGGGCUUAACUCUGGGCCUGCAGUCGAUACGGGCAGACUUGAGUUCGGUAGGGGAGACUGGAAUUCCUGGUGUAGCGGUGAAAUGCGCAGAUAUCGGGAAGAACACCCGUGGCGAAGGCGGCUCUCUGGGACGGUACUGACGCUGAGACGCGAAAGCGUGGGGAGCGAACAGG
RNAcentral lists this ribosomal RNA (253 nucleotides) under uncultured bacterium. RNAcentral's name for it is "partial 16S ribosomal RNA". It matches the Rfam family "Bacterial small subunit ribosomal RNA", at positions 524 to 776 of the family's 1533-position model. The record is from RNAcentral.